AUCCCAGAUUCUUUGUAUCCAGCCUCCUUCCAUAGGUGGGUCUACACUUUUCCUCUUGUGUGAUAUAUAUAGUGAUGCCAAAAAAUUAUGACACCAUAAAAGACAUCACAAGAGGUCCAUCUCCGGCUGCUGCCAGCUCACCCGGUGGCGACUCCGCAUCGGGCCUUCUCUGUAGCUGCUCCUUGGCUAUGGAAUGCGCUCCCUAUGGUGUAAGAUCUUUACCAGCCUUUGAAAGCUCUCGAAACACAUCUUUGAAAGUGAUUUUGAACUGUUUUAAUUGUAAUUGUUUUUAAUGGGUUAUUUAGUCUAUUUUUAUUUAUGUGAACCGCCUAGAGCCAUCUGGGUGAGGCGGUAUAAUUAAUAAGUAAGUAAAUAAGAUCAUCCUGGAGAGAAUCUAUCUAUGUGGUCGCUAAGAGUCGACACCAACUUGACGGCACUUAAUCAAUCAAUCAGUCAAGUAAGUAAGUAAAUGUUCAAAACGCAAGUCUUAUUUCAUAGUUUGUUUAAUACUAGCUCUGAUCAUUUUCCAAAAUGACUGCAUUUUGGUACUGUUAUACCAGAAAUGUAAAUAGGAACGUCAUCAGGCCCACUGAUUUUAAUGGUGCUGAGUGGAAUAAGUGUGCUUAGAAUUUCAGCUGCAGUCUGUAGAAUCCAAGGAAAAGUGUUGUGGUAUACAAGGCCAAGGCAGUGGAGUGGAAUCAGGGAUAUUAAUAGUUUAAUGAAACAGAUAUUAUGUACAGAGAGGCAAGUGUAGACUGCUUUUCAGUGCUCUUGCUGCUGGCUGUAAGCCUCUUAGUUAGUCCUCUACUCCAGGACUGGAAUCCAAGCAACUAAAUCCCCUUUCAAAAGCUGGCCUGGAUCAAGGAAUGGAUUAACCAAAAUCACAGUCCACCCUCUUUAUUCCUGUGCCUUAUGCAGGUAAACAUAAAGUGUGCCGUUGAGUCAAUGUCGACUCCUGGAGACCACAGAGCCCUGUGGUUGUCUUUGGUAGAAUACAGGAGGGGUUUACCAUUGCCUCCUCCCACACAGUAUGAGAUUAUGAUUCCCAUAGUCUGGGAAACAUACCAGCAGGGAUUCAAACCGGCAACCUCGGGUUUGCUGUCCAUUAGGUGGAGGCCUUCCUUAAUAGUAUUUUGAAAGACAGAUGCCUCUCCAGUUGCAAUUCUACACAAAAGAAAACAUCACAUGACUGAGUACUGCCAUGCUUGGCCUGACCAGAGGUCUCUCUAGCUCAACAUUACGAGUUCUGACGGUGGUCAGCUGUGCACCUCAGAGAUGUUAACAAGUAGGGAUCAAGGGGGAAAUCUAACCCUUUGUUAAUUACAAGCCUCUGGAAAUAACCAGUUUUGGAAUGUGGAAUAUUGCAUUGCUGGCAAUUGUGUGGCUAGCAGCCACCAAUAAGAACUGUCCUUCAUAGGAGCCAUUUUUGGAAGGAAUAGAAAUCGAAUGAAUAAAUAAAAUAGGAGCGAUCCACUCAGAGGUGCACCUAGGUAAUUUUGGAGCCUGGUCCUAAAGGCUUUUUGAGCCCCCUCCCCCAACAAUACUUUAACACAUUUUUAACGUGACCACACCAUUUGAGACAGACUAAAAGGAUUUAGGGGGCCACAGGGGAUGUGGAGGCCCUGGACUUUUGCCCGGAAGUACAGGGGGGAAAGUGCCUCUGGAUCCACUGGAAAGUUUACCUGUACAGACCCCAUUGAGACAAUGGAAGCACAGCAGAGCUCUUGCACAGCUCCCCUUUGUUUCAAUGGGAGAACCUCUGGGAGGGUUUUUCUCUUUUAAAAAAUCAAUUUAUACUAGUGGCCAUUCCAACAUCUCAUGGAUUCUGCAGGGGUAAUAUGAAGAAUUCUGCAAUUUCUCUUCAGUCCACUGCCCAUUAAUUUCAGUGGAUGACCAUAUUAUUUUGCUUUUCAGUGAAGAUUAUUUCUUUUUGUUUUGGCAGGGUCACCCUCUGCACAACCCUCAAGAUGUUAUACAUUUCUAUGAUCAAGGUUGCAAUGCGGGAGACACUGGAAUCUUUUUUUGCUUACACCACAUCUGCAGGAUGAUGCCACAUCAGCCUGCAUCAUGAUUAACACAUGCUUGCAUAUUCAGCAAUUGCCACAGAUGGAGACAGUUUUUUCCAACAUUUUCCCUUAUUUUUGCACACAGCCGCCUGUUUAGCAAUCUCUAAGAGUCAACAGUGGGAGGCCCCUGGCCUAAAUCCAGUCCCUUGAGAGAUGCUAAAGGGAAAGCAUAUGCUUUGCAUACAGAAUGUCUCUGGCAUCUCUAGGUAAGGCUGGAAAAAAGUCAAGGCCCUUGUCUGAAACACUGGAUUGCUGCUGCCAGUCAGAGUAGACAGCACUUAGCUAGACAGAACCAUAAUAUGAAUCAGUAUGAGGCAGCUUCUGUGGUUUUCCUCCUCAGGGAUUGGGGCUGUAGCUUCGUAGUAAAGUUUCUGAGGAGGCCCCAGGUUUAGUCUCUGGCACCUCCAGGUAGGGCUGGGAAAGACCCUUGUCUGAAACCGUGGAGAAUUGCUGCCAGUCAGAGUAGACAUAUUGAGCUAGAUUGGUCCAACUCAUUGUGUGGCAGCUUCAGAUGCAAACACACACCCACACACACCCGCCGCCACUGUUAUUAUGCUAUGUGGAGAAAGAGCUGGCAGGAGAACUUGCUAGUAGGCCACCAUCAGGGAGAGCAUAAUUUCAUGGCUAACAUCUCUCACUCUCCUCUCUAAGUGGCCCUCUAGGGAAGUUAUUUGCUACGACCAAACUAGAUGUUAUGUUAAGCCCAUUAUUAGGACUAAUGGGCUUGAUUUUGUUACUUAACAAAAAGCAGCUGGAUAGGGCCCCCCACCGAUCAGGACUGAAGCAUGUGGGGAGAAGCUUUAGCCUUCUGCCCCCACCAUGGCACCAUUCCUUAUGGCGAAGAGGGCUGGUCCAGCUGCUCUGUGCUAGAACAAAAUCAUGCCCAUCAGCCCUAAUAAUGGGCUUCACAGGGAGAGUACUGUUUUUGUGGUAAGGGGUGUUAAUAAGGGUGCAGGCAGAGGGAAAGGCUGACCAGCAGCCCCUCACAUUUUAUAAUUGUAUAUGAAUAGAAAUAUGCGAUGAUGAAUAUUUAUAUACCACUUUUCAACAAAAGUUCCCAAAGCAGUUUAGAUAGAUAGAUAUAGAUAAUAAGGAAGAUGAUUCCUUGUCUCCAAAGGGCUCACAAUCUAAAAAAAGAAACGUAAGAUAGACACCAGCAACAGCCACUGGAGGGAUGCUGUGCUGGGGCUGGAUAGGGCCAGUUGUUCUUCCUGUGCUAAAUACAAGAGUCACCAAGUUAAAAAGGUGCCUCUUUGCUCCGUUAGCAGGGCAAUAAAGUGUGGCUGGGGGAGGGGGUGGACGUUGUAGUUCAGCAGCAGCUAGAGAGCCAAGGUUGCCUCCCCGUGGUCUCUAGAUGCUCUGGCCCACCAGAGGCUGCUGAGUCCGGCAGUAGCGGAGGGCAGGUGGGGACACUGGCACCUCCCCCACCCACUGAUAAUCCUCCACCUGAGGCAACUGCUUCAGUUCACCCCAUGGUGAGAGGGUGGCCCUGCUUAAAAUAUGGACAAGGGAGACACCAGCAAACAGCCUCAGGAGGGAUGUCAUGCUGGGCUGAAUCGGGACAGUUGCUCCUCCCCUCUGCAAAAUACAAGAAAGCCACCACUUGAAAAGGACUGCUUUCAGUAGACACCUGAAGAUUCAUGUUGGAUGAUUCUUGGAGUCUCCAAACCAAUCCUGAAGAAGUGGCAACCCUGCUACAUUUCAUCAGACAAUCAGUGUACCUAGAUCCUCUACUGGAGACAGCUCUUCGGGAUUUCAGACUGAGAAUCAGCUGGAAAAGGCAUUGGAGGUCUUCUAGUCCAGCUCCCUGCUCGGUACAGGACACUCUACCUGCAGCCUGGAGUGGGACAGUCCAUUCUACCACAUCAGGGAAUGCUAACUCAGCAAAGAGACACCUUUUAAAGUGGCGGUUCUCUUAUAUUUAGCAGGGGGAGAGCAACUGGCCCCAUCCAGCCCCAGCACAGCAUCCCUCCAGUGGCUGUUGCUGGUGUCUACUUUAUGUUUCUUUUUAGAUUGUGAGCCCUUUAGGGACAGGGGACUAUCUUAUUUAUGUAUUAUUUAUUUUUCUAUGUAAACUGCUUUGAGAAUUUGUUAAAGAGCAGUAUAUAAAUAUUUGUCGUCGUCGUAGUAGGGAUGGGCCACCUUAUUCUGCUGCAUGCGAGGAUCUGGCCCAAGCAGUUUCUUCCUUUAGACUACCUGGUUGAUCUCGUCCAGUGACAGUGGUUGAAGCUGUGCCUCCAAGAUUGCACAUGGCAUGCGCAUUACAUUCAGACUUCCUAGAGAGCCAGCUUCCUAUGUUCCUAUCUGGCAAGUGGCCAGUGUGGUGAAGUUGGGUUCAGGGGGCAGCAUAAUGUUGGACAAAAUUCAUAACAAAUUUGCCACAUCUAACUUGCACCUCAGAUGAGGUACAUGAGGAUUUAGAUUGCAUCAUAAUUAAGAGUCUAGAAUAUGAAGCCCCUACACACUUUCAGCCACCUAAUGGCACAGCGGGGAAGUAACUUGCCUAGGGAGCAAGAGGUUGUCGAUUCGAAUCCCUGCUGAUAUGUUUCCCAGACUAUGGGGAACACCUAUAUUGGGCAGCAGCGAUAUUGGAAGAUGCUGAAAGGCAUCAUCUCAUACUACAUGGGAGAUGGCAAGGGUAAACCCCUCCUGUAUUCUACCAAAGACAACCACAGGGCUCUGUGGUUGCCAGGAGUCGACACCAACUCGACGACACAACUUUACCUUUUUCCACACACCUCCAGCAGGUAGGUACUCUGUCUUGCUGAGAAGUAUCUUGACUCACAAGUCUGGCUGGGGGACAAGUAGGGGAUGGAGCACAUGAACUAUAGCGUAGCAUGGGACUGAAUGCCAGGAUUAUUAAGUUAGCACAGAAAACCUCCCUCUGCCUUUGCUUCCAUUUUCUCCUUUCCCUUUAAUUGCUCUGGUUCAUAGCACCUUUGAGCAAGUCAGCUUUGUGUGUGCACGCUUGAAAUUGGCACAGAUCUGAAUACAUCCCUUUAUUCUGAUACUCCCCCCACACACCAAUAUUCUCUAAUAAUCUGUGCCAAGGUGGGGGAAAUACUAAAUAAAAUACAAAACCCACCCAUCUACUUUGGCAAUGGUGUUCUAUUAGGGCCAAUUUGGGGAACAAUGUGUGGAUUUUUUUUUAAUAGCUUGUAAGAGAAAAUGACAGAAAAUGGGGAAAUGUAAUUUGCUAUGGACUCCCCCUCCCCCCCACCUCUAUUCACUGACUCCUCGAAAGGGAUGCAUAUAUAAAUAAUGAAGCACAGCCAAUUUAAUGUUUGAAGCCACUGAGGUCAAAGGGAGAGGGAGAGAAGGAGACAUUAGCUUUGCAAGAGUGACAGGCAGCAUAAUGGCACACUGAAAUAUAAGGAGCACAUUUAGAAGGAUCCCAUCCCUUAUAUAAUAUGGUGGGGGGGAAACAUACAUGUACUUUAUCAAAUAGCAUAUACAGUACUGACACCUUUUCAGCAAGUGGCAUCCAAAGAAGACGGAAAUCUUAGAGCUUUCCCCAGAAUGCCCAUAGAAUCAUAACUUGGCAAACAAAGAGGCACCUUUUAAUGUGGUGAUUCUCUUUAUUGAGCGGUGGGAGGGGGAGUAACUGGCCCUAUCCACCUCCAGCACAGUACCUUUAGUGACUGUUGCUGGUGUCUAUCUUGUGUUUCUUUUUAGAUUGUGAGCCCUUUGGGGACGGGGAGCCACCAUAUUUAUUUAUUAUUUCUCUGUGUAAACUGCCCUGCGCCAUUUUUGGAAGGGCGGUAUAGAAAUCAAAUUAUUACUAUUAUUUCUUGUUUACACAGUCAGACAGGUGUUAUUGACUGGUUUGUUUUAUCCAGACAUCGAAUCCUUCCCAAGGACCUGAGAUGGCUGAAUUUUAUUAUCAAUGUUGUUGCUGUUAUUAUAGAUAUCGUCGCAGAAUAUAGGCUGUUACCAGUAAAGUUGCUUUUUGUAAUUG
This is a long non-coding RNA of Hemicordylus capensis (graceful crag lizard), 6024 nucleotides long. RefSeq lists it as uncharacterized. NCBI's taxonomy places the organism in Eukaryota, Metazoa, Chordata, Lepidosauria, Squamata, Cordylidae. The record is from RefSeq and is a predicted model, not a curated record. The transcript is spliced from 4 exons.